AAGACAAACAGCAAAGCCACAGAUUAACUACCAAGAGGCAGCUCUGCUCAGCGUCUUUUCAAAGAUGUAGGCCCUUUGUGCUCUGUGUUUAGUGGGAGGUCACCAGUGGAGCCACGCUGCCUUGGUGCACAUAACACAAGACCCUGUGACUUACAGCUAAAUGAACAGGAGGCCAAGCUUUACCAUCUCUCCUCUAUCCGACAAAUACUAGAAGCCUUCCACCUCCAAGAAUAAACCUUAAGACACAUCGCUGGCAAUUCAGAGCCCACAAAAUGUGAACAGGCAGUUCUGGAGUGCUUGCAAUGAUUUUUAUCCAUGUUUGUGAUAACCCAUGCCACGGCAGAAGAGAAGAAACAGACACCACAUGCCUCAAGAGACAGCGAGAAAAUGGUCUGUUACACUUAGUAGAACUCUUCCUUUCAUUAGAUCUUUCACACAUGUUUAGGAACUGGUCAAAUAGCAACUCGUUCAUUUCUUUACUCUGCACACUCUUUGUCUCAUAUGCCACAAUUCUCAAGGACAAUCCCUGUUUCAAGAUGCUUAAAAAUCUGAAAGCAACGGGGAAUGAGAUAUUGGGUAAGGGAAGGAGAACAGAGGCAGGAUGUAAAUGAAUUCAAUUCGCUGCAGACAGCAUGACAGAAAUGGGUCUUUAAGAUGGACACCUAUGAGCACAGUCCUUGGAGAAAAGUCUAAGGAGGUUAUACGGUGCUUGAGAGCCAGCAGAGAGGCUGAACGAAUGAAGUGACAUUACCUUUCCCUUGGGGAUUUCCUGAAGAACAAAUUUAAUCUGACCCAGAGUAAGAAUCCUUUUAAAUAAUUACGGAUUUAAGCAGAGGACAGCAGAGUUGUUUUUUUCCUAGCCUGGUAAUGUGUCAUGAAAAAGAAACCUCCUACUUGCCCAACACAGACUAAGCAGCUCAAUAUGGCAGGCAAUUUUUUUUGUAAGCAUGUGAGCGUUUACAGGCUCACAUGACUAUUCACACGCAAGGUAGCAGGCCUGUACCUCUGAACAGAAAUAUACUGCAAGCCAAGCUACUGCACAUUUUCUGAGACUUCAAACAACUUGAGAUCUUCAUGAACUAGUUCUAAUCACAGUUCACAAGGUGUAAAACAUCAUCCUUACAAGUAUUAACCUUUAAAAAUUACUAAAGGUCUGCAUAGUUCAAUCACCCAGCCAACUAUACUUUUGGUAGAUGGAUUUCAUGAAAGAAAAUAAACUUCACAGAAGAUUCCCUUACCAAAGUAUCUUUUUUUCUCACAGAAUUACUUCAUUUCCAUUAAAACACAGGACGUCAACCCAAUUCAAUUUGAAGGCAAUCAUUUUUGUUUGCGUCAUGUAUAUUACACAAACAUACCAUUACAGCAAGAUAGACAUCAAGGAGAUGAAAUCAAGUUUAACUUAUGAGUAUUACAUAUUAGAAUUAUUGUUCAUUCCUUUUGCAUUAGUAGAACAAUCUCACAGAAACAAGCCAAUAUAUUUUAGCUUUAAUGGAGCCCCUUAGAUAUUUUUUGAUCCUAAAAUGGAUUAAACAUUUCUCUGAUGAGUGCUUUAGUGGCUACAUAUUUUAAAUGCAUCGCCAAGUUUUCCUGUUCAUCACACUGUUGCUUUAAAUGAGUCACAGCUUCUGU
Long non-coding RNA from Gallus gallus (chicken), 1629 nucleotides. RefSeq lists it as uncharacterized. NCBI's taxonomy places the organism in Eukaryota, Metazoa, Chordata, Aves, Galliformes, Phasianidae. The transcript has 3 exons. The record is from RefSeq and is a predicted model, not a curated record.